RNAcentral lists this ribosomal RNA (446 nucleotides) under uncultured bacterium. Its description in RNAcentral is "partial 16S ribosomal RNA". It matches the Rfam family "Bacterial small subunit ribosomal RNA", at positions 354 to 796 of the family's 1533-position model. The record is from RNAcentral.
GUAGGGAAUAUUGGACAAUGGGGGGAACCCUGAUCCAGCCAUGCCGCGUGGAGGAAGACUGCCCUCUGGGUUGUAAACUCCUUUUAUAUGGGAAGAACCGUCCUCAUUAAUGAGUGACCUGACGGUACCAUAGGAAUAAGCACCGGCUAACUCCGUGCCAGCAGCCGCGGCAAUACGGAGGGUGCAAGCGUUAUCCGGAUUCACUGGGUUUAAAGGGUGCGUAGGCGGAUAAAUAAGUCAGUGGUGAAAUCAACGGGCUCAACCUGUUAACUGCCAUUGAGACUGUGUAUCUUGAAUAUGAGAGAGGUAGGCGGAAUGUUGCAUGUAGCGGUGAAAUGCUUAGAUAUGCUACGGAACACCGAUUGCGAAGGCAGCUUACUAUUUCGUAACUGACGCUGAGGCACGAAAGCGUGGGUAGCGAACAGGAUUAGAAACCCGAGUAGUCC